Molecule: transfer RNA, 72 nt
Filed under: Streptococcus pyogenes
Lineage: Bacteria; Bacillati; Bacillota; Bacilli; Lactobacillales; Streptococcaceae
Also listed under: 1 other name
Description: tRNA-Asp
Rfam family: tRNA
About the family: Transfer RNA (tRNA) molecules are approximately 80 nucleotides in length. Their secondary structure includes four short double-helical elements and three loops (D, anti-codon, and T loops).
Source: RNAcentral
GGUCCCGUAGUGUAGCGGUUAUCACGUCGCCCUGUCACGGCGAAGAUCGCGGGUUCGAUUCCCGUCGGGACC